Molecule: ribosomal RNA, 200 nt
Filed under: uncultured bacterium
Lineage: Bacteria
Description: partial 16S ribosomal RNA
Rfam family: Bacterial small subunit ribosomal RNA
Source: RNAcentral
GACGAACGCUGGCGGCGUGCUUAACACAUGCAAGUCGAGCGGAAAGGCCCUUCGGGGUACUCGAGCGGCGAACGGGUGAGUAACACGUGAGUAAUCUGCCCCUAGUUCUGGAAUAGCUCCGGGUAAACCGGGAUUAGUACCGGAUACGGCCAUUACGGACAUCUGUUUUGGUGGAAAGAUUUUCGGCUAGGGAUGAGCUC